This 479-nucleotide ribosomal RNA is filed under the name uncultured bacterium. RNAcentral's name for it is "partial 16S ribosomal RNA". It matches the Rfam family "Bacterial small subunit ribosomal RNA", at positions 28 to 507 of the family's 1533-position model. The record is from RNAcentral.
GAUGAACGCUAGCGGGAGGCCUAACACAUGCAAGCCGAGCGGACGGGCUUCUUCGGAAACUCGAGAGCGUCGCCCGGGUGCGUAACACGUGUGCAACCUACCUUUAUCUGUGGGAUAGCCUUUCGUAAGGAAGAUCAAUACCCCAUAAUAUAAUGAUUUGCAUCAAUUAUUAUUGAUAACUCAGGUGGAUAGUGAUGGGCACGCGCAAGAUUAGAUCGUUGGUGAGGUAACUGCUCACCAAGUCAAUGAACUUUAGGGGUGCUGAGAGGCAGAUCCCCCACACUGGUACUGAGGCACGGACCAGACUCCUACGGGAGGCAGGAGUGAGGAAUAUUAGACAAUGAGUGAGAGCGUGAUCCAGCCAUCCCGCGUGAAGGAUGACGGUCCUAUGGAUUGUAAACUUCUAUUGUACAGGGAUAAACCUACCCACGUGAGGGUAGCUGAAGGUACUGUACGAAUAAGCACCGGCUAACUCCGUG